Molecule: ribosomal RNA, 254 nt
Filed under: uncultured bacterium
Lineage: Bacteria
Description: partial 16S ribosomal RNA
Rfam family: Bacterial small subunit ribosomal RNA
Source: RNAcentral
UACAGAGGUCUCAAGCGUUGUUCGGAUUCAUUGGGCGUAAAGGGCGCGUAGGCGGUCAGCACAAGUCAGUUGUGAAAUCUCCGGGCUUAACUCGGAAAGGUCAACUGAUACUGUGCGACUAGAGUGCGGAAGGGGCAACUGGAAUUCUCGGUGUAGCGGUGAAAUGCGUAGAUAUCGAGAGGAACACCUGCGGCGAAGGCGGGUUGCUGGGCCGACACUGACGCUGAUGCGCGAAAGCCAGGGGAGCGAACGGG